RNAcentral lists this long non-coding RNA (511 nucleotides) under Bos taurus (domestic cattle). RNAcentral describes it as "long non-coding RNA NONBTAT012013". The record is from RNAcentral. Lineage: Eukaryota; Metazoa; Chordata; Mammalia; Artiodactyla; Bovidae.
CAGGGUUCUUUAGAAUUGGCAUCUAGAUCGACUGCAGAAAUGACAGUGACUGGCAGUGGUGAGAACUACUCUACGGGGUGGAGAAAGCAUGGGAACCACCUCUGGAGGAGUGGCACUAGAGACGGGGAGUGACUGUCUUCCCAAAUCUCCACAGGGCCCGUGAAAUCCUUGGUUUAUUUUUUAGUAACCAGGCAGCGUGACCUCUUGGCAAGGGCAUGGGACUAGGGCCAGACGGAAUGGAGAUCAACUCGAGCUUCUCCUCUUACUGGAUUUGUUUGGGGUAAGGAUUUGCAUCUACAAGUUCACGUCCGUGAAAAAGUGUUGGUACUAACAGGUUGCUGGGAGAUACUGCUGGGCAUUUUACCAGUUUCGGUUUGAGUUCUGGCUAACUUACCUCUGUAAGCCUCACUUGUGCUUUGGAGGUUCACCUCCGUAUCUAAACCCCCUACCUUGCAUUUUUUAUUGAAAGUGUAAGGCUAGGUAUUAGCCAUACAGAAUACUAUGCAACUGC